GUCUGCGUAGCUCAGUUGGAUAGAGCGACCGCCUCCUAAGCGGCAGCUUGUUCGAAUCCUGCGGACU
This 67-nucleotide transfer RNA is filed under the name bacterium. RNAcentral's name for it is "tRNA-Arg". It matches the Rfam family "tRNA". From Rfam's summary of the family: Transfer RNA (tRNA) molecules are approximately 80 nucleotides in length. Their secondary structure includes four short double-helical elements and three loops (D, anti-codon, and T loops). The record is from RNAcentral.